UACGUAGGGACCGAGCGUUGUCCGGAAUCAUUGGGCGUAAAGAGCUCGUAGGCGGCUUGGCAAGUCGGGUGUGAAACCUCCAGGCUCAACCUGGAGACGCCACUCGAUACUGCCAUGGCUAGAGUCCGGUAGGGGACCACGGAAUUCCUGGUGUAGCGGUGAAAUGCGCAGAUAUCAGGAGGAACACCGGUGGCGAAGGCGGUGGUCUGGGCCGGCACUGACGCUGAGGAGCGAAAGCGUGGGUAGCAAACAGG
Molecule: ribosomal RNA, 254 nt
Filed under: uncultured bacterium
Lineage: Bacteria
Description: partial 16S ribosomal RNA
Rfam family: Bacterial small subunit ribosomal RNA
Source: RNAcentral